AUGGUUAUAGUAUAUUGGUGAUUAUUUUCGCCUGUCACACGGGUGACCCAGGUUCGAUCCCUGGUAAUGAUG
RNAcentral lists this transfer RNA (72 nucleotides) under Capsicum annuum. It matches the Rfam family "tRNA". Rfam says of the family: Transfer RNA (tRNA) molecules are approximately 80 nucleotides in length. Their secondary structure includes four short double-helical elements and three loops (D, anti-codon, and T loops). The record is from Rfam by way of RNAcentral. Lineage: Eukaryota; Viridiplantae; Streptophyta; Magnoliopsida; Solanales; Solanaceae.